CCAGUAUGGUGAAAUGGUAGACACAUUACCUUAAGGAGGUAACGGUAUUUAUACCAUGUGAGUUCAAAUCUCACUACUGGCA
RNAcentral lists this transfer RNA (82 nucleotides) under Candidatus Vidania fulgoroideorum. RNAcentral describes it as "tRNA-Leu". It matches the Rfam family "tRNA". From Rfam's summary of the family: Transfer RNA (tRNA) molecules are approximately 80 nucleotides in length. Their secondary structure includes four short double-helical elements and three loops (D, anti-codon, and T loops). Further hydrogen bonds mediate the characteristic L-shaped molecular structure. tRNAs have two regions of fundamental functional importance: the anti-codon, which is responsible for specific mRNA codon recognition, and the 3' end, to which the tRNAs corresponding amino acid is attached (by aminoacyl-tRNA synthetases). tRNAs cope with the degeneracy of the genetic code in two manners: having more than one tRNA (with a specific anti-codon) for a particular amino acid; and 'wobble' base-pairing, i.e. permitting non-standard base-pairing at the 3rd anti-codon position. The record is from RNAcentral. Lineage: Bacteria; Pseudomonadati; Pseudomonadota; Betaproteobacteria.